GCCUUCGUAGUGCAGUGGUCAGCACGCUCGACGUAUAUUCGAGAUGUCAGUGGUUCGAGUCCCGGCGAGGGCA
This is a non-coding RNA of Stegodyphus mimosarum, 73 nucleotides long. Lineage: Eukaryota; Metazoa; Arthropoda; Arachnida; Araneae; Eresidae. The record is from Rfam.